CCCUUAGAUGCUCUGGGCCGCACGCGCGCUACACUGGUCGAUGCAACGAGUUUCUUUCCUUGGCCGACAGGCCUGGGCAAUCUUUGAACAUCGAUCGUGAUCGGGAUAGAUUCUUGUAAUUUUUGAUCUUAAACGAGGAAUUCCUAGUAAACGCAAGUCAUCAGCUUGCAUUGAUUACGUCCCUGCCCUUUGUACACACCGCCCGUCGCUCCUACCGAUUGAAUGGUCCGGUGAAGCGUUCGGACCGUGGCCUUUGGACGGUUCGCCGUCUGUUGGCUGCGGGAAGUUCGUUAAACCUUAUCAUUUAGAGGAAGGAGAAGUCGUAACA
RNAcentral lists this ribosomal RNA (328 nucleotides) under uncultured eukaryote. RNAcentral's name for it is "partial 18S ribosomal RNA". It matches the Rfam family "Eukaryotic small subunit ribosomal RNA", at positions 1470 to 1796 of the family's 1831-position model. The record is from RNAcentral.